GAUGAACGCUGGCGGCGUGCUUAACUCAUGCAAGUCGAACGGUGAAGGCGGAGCUUGCUCUGCUGGAUCAGUGGCGAACGGGUGAGUAACACGUGAGCAAUCUGCCCCUGACUCUGGGAUAAGCGCUGGAAACGGCGUCUAAUACUGGAUACGAGCUGCGAAGGCAUCUUCAGCAGCUGGAAAGAAUUUCGGUCAGGGAUGAGCUCGCGGCCUAUCAGCUUGUUGGUGAGGUAAUGGCUCACCAAGGCGUCGACGGGUAGCCGGCCUGAGAGGGUGACCGGCCACACUGGGACUGAGACACGGCCCAGACUCCUACGGGAGGCAGCAGUGGGGAAUAUUGCACAAUGGGCGAAAGCCCGAUGCAGCAACGCCGCGUGAGGGACGACGGCCUUCGGGUUGUAAACCUCUUUUAGCAGGGAAGAAGCGAAAGUGACGGUACCUGCAGAAAAAGCGCCGGCUAACUACGUG
RNAcentral lists this ribosomal RNA (468 nucleotides) under uncultured bacterium. Its description in RNAcentral is "partial 16S ribosomal RNA". It matches the Rfam family "Bacterial small subunit ribosomal RNA", at positions 28 to 507 of the family's 1533-position model. The record is from RNAcentral.